This is a long non-coding RNA of Salvelinus fontinalis (brook trout), 1077 nucleotides long. RefSeq lists it as uncharacterized. The record is from RefSeq and is a predicted model, not a curated record. Lineage: Eukaryota; Metazoa; Chordata; Actinopteri; Salmoniformes; Salmonidae. The transcript is spliced from 5 exons.
AACCAGAGGUGUGGCAGACCCAAAACACACAGCCACAAAUCUUUGAGAUGAACAUUUACCGGGUGUUAAUAAACAACCAUCCACAAAUGUAUUUUGGAGCAAAUUAGACAGAACAAUGAGAAAUUCUAUUUUUUUUCAACUUCGCAAUAAUCCGCUCUGUGACCUUAUCAAAUUGUUCAACAGCAGUUUUUGUUCAGUAAUCUUCCGGUUUUGUGACAACUCAAAACGUUGGUUAUAUUUUGCGCCAUCUUGAGAACCACCCAGGUGAUCAACUGUAAGAUCCUCUCUGUCACCCAGAUGACCAGACUGGUUCUCCCACGCAUGGUUGCAAGAGGGAACGGUCUGAUCAUCAACAUGUCUUCAGAGGCAGGUGCUCAACCACAACCCAUGCUGUCUCUCUACUCCGCCACCAAGGACAAUGACCCAACACACCUCCAGGCUGUGCAAGGGCUAUUUGACCAAGAAGGAGAGAGAUGGAGUGCUGCAUCAGAUGACCUGGCCUCCAUAAUCACCCAACCUCAACCCAUUUGAGAUGGUUUUGGAUGACUUUGACUGCAGAGUGAAGGAAAAGCAGCCAACAAGCGCUCAGUACGUGUGGGAACUCUCAAGCUGGUUGAGAGAAUGCUAAGUGUGCAAAGCUGUCAUCAAGGCAAAGGGUGGCUACUCUGACAAAUAUAAAAUAUAUUUUGAUUUGUUUAACACUUUUUUGGUUACUCCAUGAUUCCAUAUGUGUUAUUUCCUAGUUUUGAUAUCUUCACUAUUAUUACACAAUGUAGAAAAUAGUAAAAAUAAAGAAAAACCCUUGAAUGAGUAGGUGUGUUCCAACGUUUGACUGGUACAGUAGAUUUUACAAAUAUUAAAAUUGUUCUUCCACGUCGACAGAGUAUUUUGUGUAGCUCAUUUACCAAAAAAAUGACAAUUAAAUACAUUUCAAUCCCACUUUGUAACAACAUGUGGAAAAAGUAAAGGGGUGUGAAUACUUACUGAAGGCACUGUUGUACAUACAUUAUACAUAUUGUUAUACUACUGUGAUUGAUGUAUAUGAUGCAGAAGGAAAAACAACAGUGAAUCUUACUU